AGUCUGUAUUGGAAAAGGGAAGGUGUCUGGGAUUGUGCUACUGCAUGAGAAGUACACCUGUCCAUGGCCAGUCUGCACAUGAGCUCAAGACACAGCACCUCCUCCUCAAAAUGCCUUUUUCAGUACUUGAUGGAUAACUUCCGCUGAUGUAAUCCUGCCCUUGAGCUUCACAGCAUCAUGGGACCACUGAGGCCUCAGGCAACUCUAAUAAAAAUUUAGCUGUGAAGUGAUUUUUUUCCCCAAAAAUUAUGUAGAAUGGCUGCCAGGUACUAAUGGCAAUGGGUCUUUUACUGUAAUAAAUUUUUUUAAAAUUUAAACAUUCAUUGUAUCUUUAAUCACAUAUCAUAUAUUGAUGAAGAAAUUGAUAGUAUGUUUAAUAUAGUAAGUACAUUUUUUUUAAGAAAAGGAAAACAGGGCUAAGGCAGGAUAGGUUUCAAUAUGAAAUAGGGAGUCAGCA
Molecule: long non-coding RNA, 457 nt
Filed under: Fukomys damarensis (Damara mole-rat)
Lineage: Eukaryota; Metazoa; Chordata; Mammalia; Rodentia; Bathyergidae
Description: lncRNA (ENSFDAG00000028125.1)
Source: RNAcentral